AGAGUUUGAUCCUGGCUCAGAAUCAACACUGGCGGCGUGCCUAACACAUGCAAGUCGAACGCGAAAGCCCCGCAAGGGGCAAGUAGAGUGGCAAACGGGUGAGUAACACGUGGGUGACCUGCCUUCGAGUGGGGGAUAACGUCCCGAAAGGGACGCUAAUACCGCAUGACAUCCUGCUUUUGGAAAAGCGGAAAUUAAAGCCGGGGAUCGCAAGACCUGGCGCUUGAAGAGGGGCCCGCGGCUGAUUAGCUAGUUGGUGAGGUAACGGCUCACCAAGGCGACGAUCAGUAUCCGGCCUGAGAGGGCGGACGGACACACUGGGACUGAGACACGGCCCAGACUCCUACGGGAGGCAGCAGUGGGGAAUUGUUCGCAAUGGGCGCAAGCCUGACGACGCAACGCCGCGUGGAGGACGAAGAUCUUCGGGUCGUAAACUCCUGUCGAGCGGGAAGAAUACCAUUUGGGUGAAUAGCCUGGGUGGCUGACGUACCGCUAAAGG
RNAcentral lists this ribosomal RNA (499 nucleotides) under uncultured bacterium. RNAcentral describes it as "bacterial SSU rRNA". It matches the Rfam family "Bacterial small subunit ribosomal RNA", at positions 8 to 487 of the family's 1533-position model. The record is from RNAcentral.